GAUGAACGCUGGCGGCGUGCCUAAUACAUGCGAGUCGAGCGAACGGACGAGAAGCUUGCUUCUCUGAUGUUAGCGGCGGACGGGUGAGUAACACGUGGAUAACCUACCUAUAAGACUGGGAUAACUUCGGGAAACCGGAGCUAAUACCGGAUAAUAUUUUGAACCGCAUGGUUCAAAAGUGAAAGACGGUCUUGCUGUCACUUAUAGAUGGAUCCGCGCUGCAUUAGCUAGUUGGUAAGGUAACGGCUUACCAAGGCAACGAUGCAUAGCCGACCUGAGAGGGUGAUCGGCCACACUGGAACUGAGACACGGUCCAGACUCCUACGGGAGGCAGCAGUAGGGAAUCUUCCGCAAUGGGCGAAAGCCUGACGGGGCAACGCCGCGUGAGUGAUGAAGGUCUUCGGAUCGUAAAACUCUGUUAUUAGGGAAGAACAUAUGUGUAAGUAACUGUGCACAUCUUGACGGUACCUAAUCAGAAAGCCACGGCUAACUACGUG
Molecule: ribosomal RNA, 497 nt
Filed under: uncultured bacterium
Lineage: Bacteria
Description: partial 16S ribosomal RNA
Rfam family: Bacterial small subunit ribosomal RNA
Source: RNAcentral